This 404-nucleotide long non-coding RNA is filed under the name Physcomitrium patens. RNAcentral's name for it is "long non-coding RNA (PPAT_LNC004049)". Lineage: Eukaryota; Viridiplantae; Streptophyta; Bryopsida; Funariales; Funariaceae. The record is from RNAcentral.
GAAAAGAAUGAAAGUCAUAAAUUGAUUUUAUUUAAGAACUGAUACAGUGAGUUUUUAGUUUCUAAUUUUUGAUCUCAACACAAGUAACCUUGAAAGUUCACGAAGUUACUUACUUGUGAAAAUUAUGUUUCAAAAUGCUAUGCAAAUAGUGUGAAAAGAGAGAUAGAGACGUGAUUGUAGACAAACCCUACAACAAAUCGACGAUUUUGUUUACAAACAUACGCAAUGUUUCCAUCUCAGAAUGUCGAAUUUUUCACAGCUGAAAGAAUACCGACACAAGAGUUUGCGGUGGCAGAUUUCCAAGUCAGCUGACAUUCCUUAAGGCUUUCUGGUAUGGUGUUUGACAUUACCUCCGCCAGUCAGUAUGCAUCAAGAAUGUGGUGGAGUUCCUCAACAUCUGACCC